UCAACUCAGGGUGUUUAGCGUAUCCAUCGUCUCAUACAUUUAUCAUUUCUAUGUGGUGAGAACAUCCAAACUUCUUCUAGCUAUUUUGAAAUAUACAAUACAAUACUGUUAACCACAGUCACCCUAGUGAGCAAUAGAACACCAGAACUUAUUUUUCCUAUAUAACUGUAACUUUGUACCCAUUGACUAAUCUCUCCCUAUCCCCCUCCCCAGCCUCUAGUAACCACUAUUCUGCUAUUUGGAAAAUUCUUUGUCGUGAGGAUCUAUCCUGUGCACUGUGGAAUCUUCACCAGUAUCCCAUGCCUCUACUCACUGGAUGCCAGUAGCAGCCUCCUCCCCUGUCCUCCUCAAGUUAAGACAACCAAAAAUGUCUUAUAACAUUGCCAAAUUGUCCCUUGGGAGACAACAUAGACUGUGGUUGAGCAUCAGUGAACUAGUAUGAGAGACAAUAAGAAUUCUAGAAUUGUCAGAUGUGCUCCUUUUUUCAUUCCACCGUUACAUAUUGCUGAAAGCCUUUGCUAGGCUGACUUAUCCCUCUUAGAUAUGGAGACAACAGGCACCUCCAAA
RNAcentral lists this long non-coding RNA (567 nucleotides) under Homo sapiens (human). RNAcentral's name for it is "non-protein coding lnc-MEIS1-11:1". Lineage: Eukaryota; Metazoa; Chordata; Mammalia; Primates; Hominidae. The record is from RNAcentral.